This is a non-coding RNA of Paramuricea clavata, 775 nucleotides long. The record is from the annotation of a GenBank genome assembly. Lineage: Eukaryota; Metazoa; Cnidaria; Anthozoa; Malacalcyonacea; Plexauridae.
AGUUUUUUGCCUAUACAAAUUAAAUCAAAGCACGAUAUUCUGAGGGUUGUUUCUCUCCGAAUAAAUACCAUUUGAGCAAAAUUUUGGCUAAAAUUUUGAGUCCAAUUUUGGGUCCAAUUUUGAGUCCAAUUUUGAGUCCAAUUUUGGGUCCAAUUUUGGGUCCAGUCCAUGGGUCCAGUCCAUGUUUUGUACUAUGCCAUUCAAUUUCUAACAAUACGACAUUUCAAUAGUUUUGUGGGUUUUUUUGGACACCCUGUAGAUGAUCAGAUGCAAUCAGACGCCUUUGAUACAGCUAACUCAUAAAAUGCAUAGAUAUCUUAUAUACUAUAGAUAGCGCAUCUCUUUAAGUAAAAUUGAAGCCAAGAAUAUUCCAGCGGUUACACCAUUUGAAUAGAUGGCGGCCGUGUUGAAGUUUCCCACUCGCUAAUAAACGCUUAAAAAACAACAAUAACUUUCAUCAUUUGAACAGUUUGAAAUUGUAUUUGGAAUAGGUUUAACUUAAUGUUUAAGUUCUCUGUUUAAGAAAUAGAAAACAUACGAGUCUUCUCAUUUCAUGGGAAUAUCCUGAGUCUGCAAUCACGGCUUCAUGAUCAAUUUUUGAAUUGCAGAAUAAAAUGUUGUCCUUUGUAAGCCUUAACCUUAAAUUAACUCUAGGCGUACAUAAUGGGAGCAUUAUUUAAUCAGUUUAGAAAUCAUAUAUGGGGCGCUUUUCUUAGAGACGUGAUAAUAUCUUCUUGCGAGAACAAUUCCUUUACAAAUAGCUGCAAUAUUCAAC